CCUGCUAACAUGGAGAAAAAGAGUUAAGAGUGAAAUAACUUUUUCUACAUAAUCACAUUUGUGUUGGGAUCCGGGGUGUUUUGCUGUUUUCUUUUUUUUUUUCCUCCACCAGAGGUCGCCAUGAGGUGGAGACUGGAGGGCGUGACCACCGGCAGCAGUAUUACCUGCGCACCUGUAAGCGAUCAGCUUAUCUGGUGGAGUUUAAGAGGAGGGAGCAGCCAACACUUCUUUGCCAGAGUGUUAGCCUGAUAUGGUGACCCGUAAAGAACUCUGAGGACUAUCCGUUGAACCCUGAACCUCCGGCUGCCUCCACAAUAUCAUUGCCCUCGUGACGCCACGGAAAAUACCCGCUGGUCGCCCUCCAUCACUUUCCUCCACCCCGGUACCACCGAAACCUCCCAGGCGCAGAUCAUCACCUAAUCCAUGAACCAGACCCGGCCGUUUUCACCUUUGGUCCCCCGACCCAGAUUUCUCCGUUGUUUUUCAAUAAACUUCUUUUACUGAUUUCGGGUACUCCGUCUUGUGUUUCUGCAUGUGGGUGAGAAGAAUAGAGCCCAACAUGACAGAACACUCUGGCCAACAGACAGACCCAGCAGAAUCACUCCGGAGAACCCUACAGGAACAACAUUCACUAAUCCAAAAUCAUGAAGCAAUUUUACAGGAAUUAUCCAGCUGUCAGUUAGAAACAAACCGCCGCCUCGAAGAGUUAAUAGACUUUAUGCGAAACUCUGCUCCACAGGCCUCCGUUCCUGCUCCAGAUCCUGCACCGGUGCUUUCAGCAGCCUCGCAAGCGGCAUCUCCACCUCCUUCCAGUUCCGUGGAUAUGGUCCAGCCCAUGUUUUC
Long non-coding RNA from Gambusia affinis (western mosquitofish), 843 nucleotides. RefSeq lists it as uncharacterized. The transcript has 3 exons. The record is from RefSeq and is a predicted model, not a curated record. NCBI's taxonomy places the organism in Eukaryota, Metazoa, Chordata, Actinopteri, Cyprinodontiformes, Poeciliidae.